Molecule: long non-coding RNA, 644 nt
Organism: Epinephelus lanceolatus (giant grouper)
Lineage: Eukaryota; Metazoa; Chordata; Actinopteri; Perciformes; Serranidae
Source: RefSeq, a predicted model, not a curated record
ACUUAAUGCAACUGAUACCUAAAGAGAGUGAAUACCGGUAUGACACAAAUUUCGUUUAACGCAGGAUAAUACUAGUUGGUUGAAGAUGUAUUGGAAGCUACAGAAGUAUACAGAGAGGACCAGGAAUCUUUCCUGAAACCCUGUGCGGAGCCUCCUGCCUGCUGCAGCUUCGCUCUGUUGCAGAGGUCAGCAUGAAAUCUUCACAUCCAGCUUCUUCACAUCCAUCCCAUUCCUCUUCCAUUCUCCAUCCUUCCCUUGAAGAUGCUUCAGGUGUUAUUCCAUGGAUUUGUCAGAAGACUUGACAAAGUUCCAAAAGCCUGGUGGCACUACACCGGGGAACAAAAUGGAUGAAAAUGUGACUGGGUUCAACAAAGGAAAAUGAAUGGAGACAGGAAAGACACAGCAACAAAUACAUCUUCAGAAAAGAUUUUUGUGGAAGGCUCAAGUGAAGUUAAAAACACAGAGGACCAGUGAAAAAGCUGAGUUGCUUGUAUUUUGAUUUUGAAGAUUUAAGGUUGUGUUUAGCAGUGCUUUGCAAAAUAGCAUCACUGUUGCUAAAUGCUACUCGUAAUAUUGCUUUCAUGAUUUUAAAACAAUGUAUUUUAUGACUGAAAAGGACAAAUAGAGAAUAAUCAUCACACAUA